AGCGAACGCUGGCGGCAGGCCUAACACAUGCAAGUCGAACGAACUCUUCGGAGUUAGUGGCGGACGGGUGAGUAACACGUGGGAACGUGCCUUUAGGUUCGGAAUAACUCAGGGAAACUUGUGCUAAUACCGAAUGUGCCCUUCGGGGGAAAGAUUUAUCGCCUUUAGAGCGGCCCGCGUCUGAUUCGCUAGUUGGUGAGGUAAAGGCUCACCAUGGCGACGAUCAGUAGCUGGUCUGAGAGGAUGAUCAGCCACAUUGGGACUGAGACACGGCCCAAACUCCUACGGGAGGCAGCAGUGGGGAAUCUUGCGCAAUGGGCGAAAGCCUGACGCAGCCAUGCCGCGUGAAUGAUGAAGGUCUUAGGAUUGUAAAAUUCUUUCACCGGGGACGAUAAUGACGGUACCCGGAGAAGAAGCCCCGGCUAACUUCGUG
Molecule: ribosomal RNA, 433 nt
Filed under: uncultured bacterium
Lineage: Bacteria
Description: partial 16S ribosomal RNA
Rfam family: Bacterial small subunit ribosomal RNA
Source: RNAcentral